CGGCUUACCCCAACCCUUUAUGUGAACCUACCUAUCGUUGCUUCGGCGGACUCGCCCCAGCCGGACGCGGACUGGACCAGCGGCCGCCGGGGACCAUCAAACUCUUGUAUUAUCAGCAUCUUCUGAAUACGCCGCAAGGCAAAACAAAUAAAUUAAAACUUUCAACAACGGAUCUCUUGGCUCUGGCAUCGAUGAAGAACGCAGCGAAAUGCGAUAAGUAAUGUGAAUUCAGAAUCCAGUGAAUCAUCGAAUCUUUGAACGCACAUUGCGCCCGCCAGCAUUCUGGCGGGCAUGCCUGUCGAGCGUCAUUUCAACCCUGACCUCCCUUUGGGGAAGUCGGCGUUGGGGACCGGCAGCACACCGCCGGCCCUGAAAUGGAGUGGCGGCCCGUCCGCGGCGACCUCUGCGUAGUAAACCAACUCGCACCGGAACCCCGACGUGGCCACGCCGUAAAACACCCAACUUCUGAACGUUGACCUCGAAUCAGGUAGGACUACCCGCUGAACUUAAGCAUAUCAAUAGGCCGGGAGGAA
RNAcentral lists this ribosomal RNA (533 nucleotides) under Beauveria bassiana. Its description in RNAcentral is "eukaryotic LSU rRNA". The stretch from base 157 to 308 matches the Rfam family "5.8S ribosomal RNA". The record is from RNAcentral. Lineage: Eukaryota; Fungi; Ascomycota; Sordariomycetes; Hypocreales; Cordycipitaceae.